UUGAUUCUGGUGUAGUGGUAGCACCCGGCACUGUGAAUGCCGAGGGACCGGUUCAAAUCCGGUGAGUCAACCCA
This 74-nucleotide transfer RNA is filed under the name Luteolibacter pohnpeiensis. Its description in RNAcentral is "tRNA-His". It matches the Rfam family "tRNA". From Rfam's summary of the family: Transfer RNA (tRNA) molecules are approximately 80 nucleotides in length. Their secondary structure includes four short double-helical elements and three loops (D, anti-codon, and T loops). Lineage: Bacteria; Pseudomonadati; Verrucomicrobiota; Verrucomicrobiia; Verrucomicrobiales; Verrucomicrobiaceae. The record is from RNAcentral.